This 465-nucleotide ribosomal RNA is filed under the name uncultured bacterium. Its description in RNAcentral is "partial 16S ribosomal RNA". It matches the Rfam family "Bacterial small subunit ribosomal RNA", at positions 28 to 507 of the family's 1533-position model. The record is from RNAcentral.
GACGAACGCUGGCGGCGUGCUUAACACAUGCAAGUCGAACGGAAAGGCCCUGCUUGCAGGGUACUCGAGUGGCGAACGGGUGAGUAACACGUGGGUGAUCUGCCCUGCACUUCGGGAUAAGCCUGGGAAACUGGGUCUAAUACCGGAUAGGAGCCAUUUUUAGUGUGAUGGUUGGAAAGUUUUUUCGGUGUAGGAUGAGCUCGCGGCCUAUCAGCUUGUUGGUGGGGUAAUGGCCUACCAAGGCGGCGACGGGUAGCCGGCCUGAGAGGGUGGACGGCCACAUUGGGACUGAGAGACGGCCGAGACUCCUACGGGAGGCAGCAGUGGGGAAUAUUGCACAAUGGGCGCAAGCCUGAUGCAGCGACGCCGCGUGGGGGAUGACGGCCUUCGGGUUGUAAACUCCUUUCGCCAGGGACGAAGCUUUUUGUGACGGUACCUAGAUAAGAAGCACCGGCUAACUACGUG